RNAcentral lists this long non-coding RNA (607 nucleotides) under Ananas comosus (pineapple). Its description in RNAcentral is "long non-coding RNA (ACOM_LNC027120)". The record is from RNAcentral. Lineage: Eukaryota; Viridiplantae; Streptophyta; Magnoliopsida; Poales; Bromeliaceae.
CCGUUUGGUUCGGGGUUAAGUAAAAACUUGUUAUUGUAGAGAUAGAGUUAAGUUCAGGGUUAAGGUGGUGUUAGAGUAAUUUUGUGUUUGGUUGAGAAUUGGGUUUAGCCCAGAUAUAGAUAAAAUAGUGUUUGGUUGGAGUAGGUGGGAUAAGAAGGAUAGUGGGUAAAAUAAUAUUUUAUUUGGUUGGAGUAGUGGGGUGGGGUGGGGUUAGCUAACCCCACCCGGUGGAAUUAGUUAACCCCAGCCCCCAAAUUGGAUGUUUGGGAAUAACUUCGGGGUUAAAGGAUUAUUCCACCCCUUGACCCCAAACCAAACGUAAAAUUUACUCAUUUUAAUCGAUAUUGGUGCUUUGUUAAUAGAAAAAGCUUUAAGCUACCGUUUGGUUCGGGGUUAAGGAAAAACUAGUUAUUCCAGGAAUAGAAUUAAAGUUCAGGAUUAAGGUAGGAUUAGAGUAUUUUUGUAUUUGGUUGAGAAUUGGAGUUAGUCCAGGAUUAAAGAAAAUAAUGUUUGGUUGGAGUAGGUGGGAUAAGAAGGAUAGUGGAUAAAAUAGUGUUUUGUUUGGUUGGAGUAGUGGGGUGGGGUGGGGUUAGCUGGGGUUAGCUAA